RNAcentral lists this long non-coding RNA (920 nucleotides) under Mytilus galloprovincialis (Mediterranean mussel). Lineage: Eukaryota; Metazoa; Mollusca; Bivalvia; Mytilida; Mytilidae. The record is from RNAcentral.
AUGAGUUCGGUUCUCUAGUUGAUUUAUUGAAUACAUUUCCUAUCUCUUUAUGAAUUGUUAAGGUAUUGCUUACUUGUACAUUUUGUAUCUCUCUCAACAAAAAUUGUGACAUUACUAAUUUACUAGGAUUGGAUAUUUUUUUUUUAGUAAUUUAAUGUGUGUCAAAAUUGAGGUUUGAGUUUUUAAGAAGGUAUUAAACACUCCAGGCCAGAGUCAUGCUGAAGUUUAGCAAUAUUUUCUUAUCUUGUGUUGGUAUGAAUUCAGUGUAUUUGAAGCUGUCCUUUCAUUGAUUUUGGAGGAUUAUUUAAAUGGGUUGGAGAUCCAAUACUGACACUUAAUACAGGGUUUUACAGAAGAAUUAUUAUUUUUCUUGAUUUAUUAUGCUUUAAAUUGUAUUCGUAUUACUAUGUAGCUAUACUUCCAUGUAGCUAUUUGCCGUACAGAAUUGUAGGAGAUUUUUAAUGUUUGAUGUUUGAAUAGUAGAAUCCUCAAUAGUAAGUAUGUUUUUGUAGCAGACUGACAUCCUCCAGAUGGGGUUGACUUAGGUCUAGCCACAGAAAUGCAUUUUUGUGGUGGCAUAUUUGUCGCAUGUUAAAAAGUUAACUCAGAAUAUAUAAUGAAACUAUAAGGAUCCAACAUAUUUUUAAUAAACUUGUAGUGGUAUUGACACAGGUAGUUCUAGAGUGGGUCUUUGCCAAUGAGAUGAAGAACAUGAUCAGAUGGAGUGUGAGAUUCAUCAUUCUUAAGUAAGGAUUGUCUCAAUUUAGACCAAUGCAAACAUGGACUGGUGCUGCUAUAGAAUUUACAACUAUUUAUUGCCGUUAUAAUAAGCUGUCGGGUUGCUACAUAAAAUAUUAUGAUUUUCGAUCAGACCAGAACUUUUUCAACUAGAUGUUUUUCACUUGUCACCCUUAACCUGC